This is a non-coding RNA of Cinara cedri, 531 nucleotides long. The record is from the annotation of a GenBank genome assembly. Lineage: Eukaryota; Metazoa; Arthropoda; Insecta; Hemiptera; Aphididae.
AAUGUUCUAUCGGGCAGGCAUCCCCAUCAGACUCUAAUUUUAUACAAUCUAUACUUUUGCUUGUACAGCUAUUUCUAUGCGUAUUUUUAUGAGUUUAUAAAAAAAAACACACAACUUAUGAUGAAUUUCAUAUUAAAUAUACGGGCAUUUUAGCUGGGCUAAAAUAAUUGUACUCGCAUAAAGCUAAAUAAAAAAAAUUGAUAAAUUUUACAGCGUUUAGAAAAAGCUAAUACAUCGGUAUUCGGUGAAAAAGUCUUGUUUCUACGGUUUUUCCUAAACUAAUUGUUAACAAAUUACAGAAACCGCUGGUGCGUACAUUUUUCCGUUUUUCUUACAUAUUUUCCUAACUAUUAAAAAAAGCACGGGCAUACUAUUCAUGUGGGUGCAACUAUUGUUGUAGGUGGAAAGUUGGGAAGGUAGGGUACAGACGAGAAUUUAAUAGAUAUGAAUGUAAGCAACGAUAAACCAAUGCUAACGAAAAGCGAUUCUGAGCGGAGUUCAGUUGAUAAUAUUACUUUGUCAACAAUAUAA